UCUAACAUUUGUCUAAAUAACGAAUAAAUGCAUGUAACAUGAAACUUUUGUAAAGAAGAGAUUUCGAUAAACCUGGAUUUUCACUGAGGAAGCUAAACCAAACUCUCUUUUUUUUCUUUCCAGGG
Molecule: long non-coding RNA, 125 nt
Organism: Sander lucioperca (pikeperch)
Lineage: Eukaryota; Metazoa; Chordata; Actinopteri; Perciformes; Percidae
Exons: 2
Source: RefSeq, a predicted model, not a curated record